GACGAACGCUGGCGGCGUGCUUAACACAUGCAAGUCGAACGGAAAGGCCCUGCUUUUGUGGGGUGCUCGAGUGGCGAACGGGUGAGUAACACGUGAGUAACCUGCCCUUGACUUUGGGAUAACUUCAGGAAACUGGGGCUAAUACCGGAUAGGAGCUCCUGCUGCAUGGUGGGGGUUGGAAAGUUUCGGCGGUUGGGGAUGGACUCGCGGCUUAUCAGCUUGUUGGUGGGGUAGUGGCUUACCAAGGCUUUGACGGGUAGCCGGCCUGAGAGGGUGACCGGCCACAUUGGGACUGAGAUACGGCCGAGACUCCUACGGGAGGCAGCAGUGGGGAAUAUUGCACACUGGGCGGAAGCCUGAUGCAGCAACGCCGCGUGCGGGAUGACGGCCUUCGGGUUGUAAACCGCUUUCGCCUGUGACGAAGAGUGAGUGACGGUAAUGGGUAAAGAAGCACCGGCUAACUACGUG
Molecule: ribosomal RNA, 468 nt
Filed under: uncultured bacterium
Lineage: Bacteria
Description: partial 16S ribosomal RNA
Rfam family: Bacterial small subunit ribosomal RNA
Source: RNAcentral